This 513-nucleotide ribosomal RNA is filed under the name Liphistius sayam. RNAcentral's name for it is "partial large subunit ribosomal RNA". It matches the Rfam family "Bacterial large subunit ribosomal RNA", at positions 1783 to 2632 of the family's 2925-position model. The record is from RNAcentral. Lineage: Eukaryota; Metazoa; Arthropoda; Arachnida; Araneae; Liphistiidae.
UUCCAUGGCGCCUGUUUAUCAAAAACAUGGUUUUUUGUAAUUAUGGAAAAUCGGGCCUGCUCACUGCUAUUAGUAAAUAGCCGCAGUAUUUUGACUGUGCUAAGGUAGCAUAAUCAUUUGCCUUUUAAUUAGAGGCUUGUAUGAAUGGUUUGACGUGAUAGAAUCUGUCUCCGAUAAAUAUGUUGAAGUUGAUUAUAAAGUAAAAAGGCUAUUAUGGAUCUGAGGGACGAUAAGACCCUGUUAAGCUUGAUUUUUGAAUUUUGCUGGGGUGGCAAUUUAAGAUGAAAAUCUUAAUAAUAGUGGUUAUAGGAUAAGGACCCAAUAUUAUUGAGUGAUAGAUAAAGCUACUAUAGGGAUAACAGCUUAAUUUUUUUAAUGAGUUCUUAUUUUAAGAAAAGUUUGUGACCUCGAUGUUGAAUUAAGGGUUCUAUUUGGUGAAGUCGCUUAAUAAGAAAGUCUGUUCGACUUUUAAACCCUUACGUGAUCUGAGUUCAGACCGGCCAUGGAAACCUC